Molecule: transfer RNA, 75 nt
Filed under: Couchioplanes azureus
Lineage: Bacteria; Bacillati; Actinomycetota; Actinomycetes; Micromonosporales; Micromonosporaceae
Description: Couchioplanes caeruleus subsp. azureus tRNA-Trp
Rfam family: tRNA
About the family: Transfer RNA (tRNA) molecules are approximately 80 nucleotides in length.
Source: RNAcentral
ACGGGUGUAGCUCAACGGUCUAGAGCACCGGUCUCCAAAACCGGAGGUUGCAGGUUCGAAUCCUGCCGCCCGUGC